UACGUAUACACAUAUUGACUUCCUUCCUUUGUUCUGAGACCUUGAAAUUUUUACUCUUUCUAAAUUGUCGUGUCUAAUGUAGAUUACCUCUAUCUGUAUACUUUUUGCACCAUUUUUCUCUUUCUUUAACCCUGCAAAGCUUCAUUCGUUAUAUACCGAUAUACUUACUCCAGAACAAUGUUUUUUUCAUAUACUCUUUAGCACAUCCCCAUUCUUUUAAUAAUUUUUGGUCCGAUUGUCCCCUUAUGAAUGCUGUGAGUCUUGUCAGAUGUAUAUAUUCACAAAAUUUAAUUUGCCAUUCUUUCAUUGAUGGAAUUUUUCUCCCUUUCCAAUUUUUUGCUAUGAGCAUCCUGGCAGCUGUUGUUGCAUAGAGGAAUACUUUCCUUUGAUUGUCAGGAAUAUCUUUUGUGAUUAUACCUAAAAGGAAUGCCUCCGGUUUUUUACUAAAAGACUUAGCCUUUUUAAGCCUCUGCCCUUCCCACCUCUCCAAAGCUCCACCCCCUUGUGGAUAAGCGCAGAUUCUUAAAGGAAGUGCUUUUUAUGGGGGUACACAGGGGUACGCAUACCCCUAAACAUUUUGUGAAUCUAAUGGGAGAAUAAACUUUUUUAAAAAAAGUUUAUUCUCUAGCAUGGUGAAUCAUCAGUUCUGUUACUACCCUUGAUGGCAGCUUCAUUUCCUGUCACGGUGUUUCCUGAGUCUAAGACAGAAGCAAGCGUUUAAUGUGUGAAGUAGGAGUUGGAACAGGCACAGGCAAACUCUGGCCCUCUAGAUGUUUUGAGACUACAAUUCCCAUCAUCCCUGACCACUGGUCCUGUUAGCUAGGGAUGAUGGGAAUUGUCGUUCCAAAAACAUCUGGAGGGCUGGAGCUUGCCUAUGCCUGAGUUGGAAUCUAGCACGGUGAUUGGUCAGUUUCGUUGUUUUUACUGUAUUUAUUUCUCCCCGAUUUGAGCUAUAAAACGGUGAUUUUCUUCAGUGAAAAUGAGAGUACCCCUAAACAUUUUUUAAGGAAAAAAAGCACUGCUUCAAGGACCCAAAUUUCCCUGUUUCAUAGCCUUUGGUGCUGUAGGAAGGCAUCUGUGAGGAUCUUGGCUCUGAUGGUACAAGAGCUUCUUCUGGGGAAUCCUGUCUGCUGGCUUUGGGCUCAGCUGAACUCCUGAUCUCUAGUGGCAGGCCAAAAGCCCUGAACCUAGUCUGGUUCCUGUCAUGAGUCGGCUUCACCUGCUGAGCAGCAGCCUGAAGGAGCAGAGAGUGAAGUGACUCCACCUGCUGCUGAUCAGCCUUCUUGCUCCUGAUGAGAACCAGCGGGCUCCAGCUUUCUUAAGCAGGGUUUCCAGCCUCAGUCAGUUGCUGGAAACAACAUUCAUCGUUCCUGACCAGACCUUGCUGCUUCUUGCGACCUUGGACCCUCAGCUUUCUUGACCUACAGAUUGUCUGACUACAUGAACUGAGAUACUCUAGACCUUAGGACAGGCCUGGACAGGACCUUGUAUGUGGAUUCUGCCUCCAGGCAAGUACCCCACGAGAUUUGGCUGGAUGGGUGGUUUCUCCUUCCACUUAGCUCUGCCAUGACCGGCAGCACAAGACUGUGACAGUUCCUUGCCCAGCUCCUUUCUUGGAGACUCUUCAGCUUCCUACUACGAGUCCGUCAAGAAUAAUGGUCAAGUAUCUUGAAAUAGGGAUAUUUUUUUAUAUUGAAUUUCUGUGUGUUUUUAUCAUGGGUUUCCCCCCCUUGGGCAGUAACUCUCCCGUGGGAUUGGCUGACUGUGAGUCACAUGAGAGCGGCAUUCCAUUCUGUUGUGAUUGUUAUUCCAGUAACUGUCGUUUUUUAACUGUUUUCUGUUCUCCUUUGUUGUGUGUGAGGGAGAAUGGCUACUGGGAGAGGUUUCUGUGAAUGCUGCUGAGGACAAGGUGUCAGUGUGGUCUGUCUGGGUUGAAGCAGAUGGAGGAAGAUCCCUCAAUGUUAAUAGGGAUAAACCUGUGCUCUCUAAGGAGCAAUGGGAAUAAGUAUGAGAUUGUAGAUAGAUUCUUCUCAGUUAUGUUUAUGAAAGUCAAGCUCUUUUGAAUAUAAAGUAUCUGGACAUUGCAUAUCAGUACACACACAGACAAUCUAGGUCGCUGUUAGACCUCAGAGUAAGAAGAGGUAUCAUGUCCCAGGUCUGACCAACAAGAACCCUACUGGAUCACAGCAGUCCUAGUCUAACAGGCUAUUCAGCCUGUUCUGAUUCUUCCAGGAACUCCACAAGCGGGGCAUGAAGAAAACAUCUAUCUACUGUGCUUCCUUCCAAACACUCAGCAUUCAGAGGCAUAGCUGCUCAGAACCUGGAGGGUCCAUUAAACGGACCUGUUCUCCAUGAAUUUGUCUAGCCCUCAUUGGAGUGUUGCUCAGCUUGAAUACAUUAGUUGUUCUCAGUCGACCGGAUAGGAAGCACCGUGCUUAAGCAACAUACGAAUCUUGCAUUUCUCAAUCUCCUUGCUGUAUUCUGGCAGUAAAAGGAACCAAGAUUGCUAAUAGAAAGCUAUCAUCCUUAACAGGUGUCAAGUUUUUAAGUGCUGCGCUGGUCUCCCUUGCAUCCAGCUACCUGUUCUGCUUGUAGAUUAAUACAAUCCCUCCUUUUAAGCAACAGCACAUUCCAUUAUUCUUCUCCACGCUGCAGUACGUCUAUUACCCGCCAUGGGAAUGCCGCGAUGUUGUGGCAAUACCGUUCCACUGUUGUCUUUUUGCAGGUGCUUCAUGUCUGGAGCACUACAAAGCAUGCAGAUGAUGAGGCUUAAUUUAGAAUGACUGGAGGAUUUAAACCGAAAGGCUUACAAACAUUUCCUUCAUGCUCCUCUGCAGCUUCUUGUCUCCAUGGAGCACAGUGUGCCUCUGUGUGUGUGCAAAUGAAGAAAAAUGCAGGUUACAGAAGAGGCACUGCUUCCCUAGUAAGAAAAUGACGAUUGCCAAGGCUUGAGCUUGUGUGCGUGGCAAGGAGGCACUGCUUUCUAAUACUGUGCAAGGGAGACACUUUGCACAUGUUCAGAGACACUAAGGCAGGUGCCAAGACUGUCUCAGCAAUUGCAUUAUUGGGGAAGUUUGUUUCCCAUAAGCAUCCCCGGAAACAGGCUCGGGUAAUGCGUUUUCCCUCUCUUUGACUCUCAGGAUGGGCAGAAUGGCUUUCUCUUCCCACUGGGCAACCACGACCACCCAAGAAAAUAUUGAGAUUACAGGGGUGAAGCUGGGCUUUGAACCAACCUGAGGCCAGCAUGCCUCUUCUGAAUUUCUGAAAUCAUAUGCUAUAAUAAGGGGACGCGGGUGGCGCUGUGGGUUAAACCACAGAGCCUAGGACUUGCCGAUCAGAAGGUCGGUGGUUCGAAUCCCCGCGACAGGGUGAGCUCCCGUUGCUCGGUCCCUGCUCCUGCCAACCUAGCAGUUUGAAAGCACAAAGUGCAAAUAGAUAAAUAGGUAUCGCUCUGGCGGGAAGGUAAACGGCGUUUCCGUGCGCUGCUCUGGUUCGCCAGAAGCGGCUUAGUCAUGCUGGCCACAUGACCCGGAAGCUGUACGCCGGCUCCCUAGGCCAGUAAAGCGAGAUGAGCACUGCAACCCCAGAGUCGGCCACGACUGGACCUAAUGGUCAGGGGUCCCUUUACCUUUACCUAUGCUAUAAUAACAAAUUGCCGAAUCUCCAGCUAAUGCUCUGAUUAAAAAAAGAAAAGAAUGACAACACAGUUACAUAAAAGUAAGGAUAUGUACAAUGCAAGAUAUAAAGCUCAUGGUGCUAUAAAUCUAAAUAUUGCACAUGCUGCUUCUAUUAGGAAGCAGAGGUCUCUUCAUUAUUAAGGUGCUUUUAUAGUUAAAUAAGCAAACAGUUCUUCAAGGAUGGGCGCUCCUCCUUGCAAAAGCUUCUGUCUCCUCUUUAAUCCGCCUCUGUUUCCAGCAGCAAUUAUUUCUCCUACCCAUUGCAAGACAACAUCAGCCUGCAGCAAGGCCACCUUGCUGUUUAUUACAUGUGUAUUAGAUAUUGAAUUUCUGAUGGCCCUGGCUUUGCUCCUGGAUGGCCAGGUGGCAGCCGUAACAAGGAGUGCUUUUGCUGGUGCAUCAGCUGUCUGUUCCUAGAGGAAGCAGAUGUGGCGAUGGUGACAUAAGCCUUUGGAUGAGACCGGAUGAUUGCAAUGUGCUCUAGACUCAGCUAGAGUUUCAGCCUGAGCCCGAUAUUGGAAAAAUAUGACUCCCCUUAUGCAACUGGUUUGCUGUCUUUCAGUCCACAGCCAAAAUGGCAUUUAUAUUUGCGUCAAGCCCAUACAAAGUGACACAUAGAGAAAAAUCAAAACAGAACAUCAGGCAGUAUAGGAUGUACAGUGUGGAUCCAGCCAAAUACAUGCCCUCCAGCAUUUCUCUGAUGAAAAUAGGGAUGUCCUAUUCCACAACAAGUUGCCCAGCCACUCUGGGAAGCUUCCACCAUAUAUAAAAACAAUAAACAUUAAAAAAACUUCUCUCCACAGGGCCGCCUUCAGAAGGCUGGGGGGGGGGGAGUCGCAUAACUCCAUACCCUCUAACAUUUCUCCCAUGAAAAUAGGGACGUCCUAAGGAAAAGUGGGACAUUCCUGGAUCAGAUCAGAAACUGGAAUGGCUUCUGUAAAUCUGGGACUGUCUUUGGAAAUAGAGACAAUUGGAGAGUCUGAAAUAGGCAACAUGAAGGCACCUGAAUUACCGUAUUUUUUGCUCUAUAAGACUCACUUUUUCCCUCCUAAAAAGUAAGGGGAAAUGUGUGUGUGUCUUAUGGAGCGAAUGCAGGCUGCGCAGCUAUCCCAGAAGCCAGAACAGCAGGAGGGAUUGCUGCUUUCACUGCACGGCGAUCCCUCUUGCUGUUCUGGCUUCUGAGAUUCAGAAUAUUUUUUUUCUUGUUUUCCUCCUCCAAAAACUAGUUGCGUCUUGUGGUCUGGUGCGUCUUAUACAGCGAAAAAUACGGUAAUCACCUAAACUCUCCUAAGGAAAACAAAUCACAAAAAUGUAAGCUGUUGAGGCUUGCUUGUAUUCCCCCAGAACUGAAGGGGCCAAGUCCUUACUAUACAAUGGCUGCAAAGCUGUAUGUUGGAUUCAGGGCUGGCCCAGAUUUGCCGGCUGAAAUAUACUCGGAGUCGAGUGUGGAUUUCAUGCUCUUUAUUCAGCUCAUAGUAGUGAGGAAUCGAAGUUCCCCCGAAAUGUCUGCUUUAGAUACAUUAUUUACACAAUGGGCCCCACGUGAUUGGCUAAUUCUGGGAUUCUCCUGUAGGCCAAUCAGGUUGCGGAUUCACUUCCACCUGGAGUUGGAUUGGGUGGCUCCUGCGGACCAAUCAGACUGCUGCAUUCUGAAUCCUAUUGUUCUAGGACCAGACUGCUGCAUUCUGAAUCCUAUUGUUCUAGGACCAAUCAGACUGCUGCAUUUUGGAUCCUAUUCAACUCAAUACAUAACAGCGGCUCUCCCAGCUGCCCAGAGCUUAAGGCCAUUGCCUCACCUCGCCUUACGGGUGGGCCAGCCCUAGCUGGAUUGGUAAAUGGCUCCUUGCAUAAUGGGCAUGCACUUUCUAAUUACAGACCUUCACAGUCAAUUGAAAAAUUGUGUUUAACUAAUUCCCUGCGCAUUGGCCCAGCUGGAUAGGACUGAUGGAAGCGGGAGUCCAACAGCAACAUCUGAAGGGCCACGAGAUUCCCCACCCCGUCCUAAAGAGUUCCUUCCUUCCUUCUGUGCGACAUGCUGUUAGUUUUUGCGGAAGCUUCCCCCACAUCUCCCUCUGCGCAAGGCGUGAGGGUUUUUGAAAAAGGCUUUAGAUUAGAAUUUCAACUUCACACUUUGAAAAUUGGUUAUCUUGCCGGUCUGUGAUAUGCGAAAAGCAUAUCACGUAGAUGAUCGUUAUUUAGACAGAAUGAAAGGCAGGCUCUGUCUCAGAGGCUUAAAGCAUUUUUAUUCAGUGUUUUUAACUGGCACUUCAAAACCUAAAUCUCCUAGAUUUCUCUUUCGCUAUUUAGACAGCUUAUUUGGUAGCUUGCCACUGGGUUUCUCCAGCUGACAUUUAUCUACUUUCUUGGAAUGCACAAGUGAUUCCCCCCCCCGCCCUUUAAAACAUGACUAAAGUCAGAUUGCUAAAUGCUUGGGAAAAUAAAGCAUAAAAAAUACUGAUUCCUUGGUAGAAAGUGUUUCGGCAGUAUAGUCAUUGUGCCCAAACCCUCAAUUAGCAUUUCAGGAUUGGAAUGAAUUAUCUCAAUAUUUUGAAGUCUAUCUUAAUAAGCUUUACAAAGUUUCUAACUUUUUAUCUAAGUGCCUUUAUCAAUAAAAUAUUUUUAUUAUGGCCAAGCUAGAAAAGGACUGGCAAAAUUCAAACGCCAUUAACCUUACCUGCCCUGAACUGAGGCAUAUUGGCCAGGACGCAAAUAGAUAUUUUGGCUUAGUACAUCCAGCGAAUUUUUUUCCAUCACCUCCACUCACAGCUUCAGCUAUUGACAACCGUGCCACUGACAAAUGGCUUUUGAAUUGGUAGUUUCAAGUGACUUGUAGAAGCUCCUCUUUGAGAAAACAAAAGCUGCGUGGGUGUGUGCACAAGUGGCAAAGUUGUCUGGAUGCUUUUGUUGUUGUUUAGUCGUUUAGUCGUGUCCGACUCUUCGUGACCCCAUGGACCAGAGCACGCCAGGCACGCCUGUCUUCCACUGCCUCCCGCAGUUUGGUCAGACUCAUGUUUGUAGCUUCAAGAACACUGUCCAACCAUCUUGUCCUCUGUCGUCCCCUUCUCCUAGUGCCCUCAAUCUUUCCCAACAUCAGGGUCUUUUCCAGGGAGUCUUCUCUUCUCAUGAGGUGGCCAAAGUAUUGGAGCCUCAGUUUCACGAUCUGUCCUUCCAGUGAGCACUCAGGGCUGAUUUCCUUAAGAAUGGAUAGGUUUGAUCUCCUUCCAGUCCAUGGGACUCUCAAGAGUCUCCUCCAGCACCAUAAUUCGAAAGCAUCAAUUCUUUGGCGAUCAGCCUUCUUUAUGGUCCAGCUCUCACUUCCAUACAUCACUACUGGGAAAACCAUGGCUUUAACUAUACGGACCUUUGUUGGCAAGGUGAUGUCUGGAUGCUAGCCAACGUCAAAGGGAAUGGAAGACUCCCUUAUUACUGCUAAUCUUUACACUAGUUAGGUUAGGAGCAGAGCUCUUUCAUAACACUCUGAGUUGUAGGGUAGAUUUGUGCUGCAACUCUGGCCAUUGUGGGCCAAGUUGUCAGAAAUAGUGCUUUUCUAGUUAAAGGUAAUGGACCCCUGGAUGGUUAAGUCCCGUUAAAGGCGACUAUGGGGUUGUGGCGCUCAUCUCGCUUUCAGGCCGAGGGAGCUGGAGUUUGUCUGCAGACAGCUUUCCCGGUCAUGUGGCCAGCAUGACUAAACCACUUCUGGUGCAACGGGACACCGCAAUGGAAGCCAGAGUGCAUGAAAAUGCCAUUUACCUUCCCGUCACAGUGGUACCUAUUUUUCUGCUUGCACUGGUGUGCUUUUGAACUGGUAGGUUGGCAGGAGCUGGGACAGAGCAACUGGAGCUCACCCCAUCUUGGGGAUUUGAACUGCCCACCUUCUGAUCGGCAAGCCCAAGAGGCUCAGUGGUUUAGACCACAGCGCCACCUGCUUCCCACUCGAAAUUUCUUUGAAACUACCUAGCACUAUUUUGAAAACAUUGCACUGAGGUUGGACGAUGAAGCCAUUUGGCAGCAGGGUCGGGAAAUAGACCAGGCACCUGUCUCAAUUUUCCAAUAAUUUAGGCAUAAUACAUAAAAUCAUCUGACCUUUAAAGCCCUAAAUGGCCUCGGUCCAGUAUUCCUGAAGGAGCAUAUCCAUGUCCAUCGUUCUGCCCGGACACUGAGGUCCAGCGCCGAGGGCCUUCUGGCGGUUCCCUCGCUGCGAGAAGUGAGGUUACAGGGAACCAGGCAGAGGGCCUUCUCGGUAGUGGCACCCGCCCUGUGGAACGCCCUCCCACCAGAUGUCAAAGAGAAAAAUAACUACCAGACUUUUAGAAGAUGUCUGAAGGCAGCCCUGUUUAGGGAAGCUUUUAAUGUUUAAUAGGUUAUUGUAUUUUAGUGUUCUGUUGGAAGCCGCCCAGAGUGGCUGGGGAAACCCAGCCAGAUGGGCGGGGUAUAAAUAAUAAAUUAUUAUUAUUUUAUUAUUAUUUAUUAUCCAGCCCAGUGGUGGCAUCAAGUGCAAUGUCUGUUCCAUCUGUACUGGAUCAGUUUUGAAGCAAGCUUGAAUAAGCGUGGCUGACCACGCCCCCCCUUGAUUAUCUUGGCCGCAAGUGAUUGACUGGGUGGGUCCAGGGAAUGGGCAGCUCUACAGAACUACGAAACUAUGAGAGAUGUGGAUUGUGGCUAACGUGUAUACUGGGACUCAAAAGCCAGCAGCAUGAGCACGUUGGCUGCAGAGUAAAUGGCAAUGUGUACACAGCCCAGUUUUUAAAGUGCCGCAAAACAAUAGUAGCAAAUUAUUAAGUCAACGUCAACAGAAAAGCCUGGGAAAUGGCUUCCUAUCAGCCUCUCAUUAAUAAAGUUCAAGAGAAAUGCUGGAAAAUUGAAAGAACUGGGUUAGCUGUCCUGGACUUAAUUUUUUUUCUGUGUGACUUUCAGUAACUCGCAUCGCAGCAUAUGCAGUGAAAUGAAUAAGAGUCUGUUCAGGAAGCUAGUGUUCUAUCAGUCAAUUAGUGCAGGAAACUUUUUUAAAAGUCUAAUCAGCUCUAUUGGAUUAAACUAUGACACCCAAAUUGUUGAAAUUUCCUCUUGAAAUAUCAGCUCUGAUAUUGUAAGGAAACAUCCAUCUGCCUUGAGAGGAGAACAGAUGUGGCCCCUUCAACUGGGAACGAAGCAAAAAAAGAAGCAUAUUGUGGCUUUUUGCUGGGGAGGGAGGGAAUCCGAACUACAGCUGUACUCUUUGCACAUUUUUGAAAAAAGAUUACAGUGUUAGCAAUGUAACUGAAGGCAGGAAGAUUUGGUAUUGAACAAGCCUAGAAUCCUAGAAUUGUAGAGCGGGAAGGGACCCUGCGGAUCUGUUUGUUUGUUAUUAAAGUGAGCAGAUUCUUUAUGAGGUCUUGUACAAAUAGAUAUGUUUCCGAACACAAUUCAAAGUGUUGGCACUGACCUUUAGAACCCUAAAUGGCCUUGUCCCAGGAUACCUGAAGGAGCGUCUCCACCCCCAUCGUUCUGCCCAGACACUGAGGUCCAGCUCCAAGGGCCUUCUGGCGGUUCCCUCACUGUGAAAAGCGAGGUUACACGGAACCUGGCAGAGGGCCUUCUCAGUAGUGGCGUCUGCCCUGUGGAAUGCCCUCCCAUCAGAUGUCAAGGAGGUGAAAAAGCCAGCCAGAUGGGUGGGAUAUAAAUAAUAAUAAUAAAUUAUUAUUUUAUAUUAUUUUAUUAUUAUAUUACCUUUAAAAGACAGGUGAAGGCAGCCCUGUAUAUAAUCUAUGUGUGACUUAUUUUUUGCCUAAUGAUGAGUGGCUCCCAGUACAUUUCUGAGCACAAGUCAAAAGUGUUGGUGCUGACCUUUAAAGCCCUAAACGGCCUCGGCCCAUAUACCUGAAGGAGCGUCUCCACCUGCAUCAUUCAGUCUGGACACUGAGGUCCAGCUCUGAGGGCCUUCUGCGAAAAGUGAGGUUACAGGGAACCAGGCAGAGGGCCUUUUUGGUAGUGGCAUCCGCCUUGUGCAACGCCCUCCCAUCAGAUGUCAAAGAGAUAAACAACUACCUGACAUUUAGAAGACAUCUGAAGGCAGCCCUGUUUAGGGAAGUUUUUAAUGUGUGACAUUUUAAUGUAUUUUUAAUCUUUGUUGGAAGCUGCCCAGAGUGGCUGGGGAAGCCCAGCCAGAUGGGCGGGGUACAAAUAAUAAUAAUAAAAAAUAAUAAAAAAUAAUAAAAAAUAAUAACUCACUGCUCUCUUUAAAGUUCCAUGUAACUUCUCUCACUCCUGCAAACUCUUCGCCAGGAGGCUUUGCUCUCUAUAGCAAUGUUGCCCAAACCUGGGUCUCCAGCUGUUUUCUGACUACAGUUCCUAUCAUCCCUGACCACUGAUCCUGCUAACUAGGGAUGAUGGGAAUUGUAGUCCCAAAACAUAUCUCCUUAGAGAUCGUGUUGCUGUCCACAAGAGCCAAUUGUUAUGUGUUUCUUCUUAUUACCAGGGCUGGCCUGCCCAUGAAGAGGGGUAAACAUCCCAUUUCACCUCAUACUGCAAAAAGGGACACGCAGCCCUUGAUUAUUACAACUGCAUUUUUUGUAACUGCUUUGAUUUUCAUGUUGUAGAGCUAUUACGUGAUGUACAGUGGUACCACUAGUUACGAACUUAAUGUCCGUUCUUAACCUGAAACCUUUCUUAACCUGAGGCACGCUUUCGCUAAUGGAACCUCUUGCUGCCGCUGCGCCGCCGGCACACGAUUUUUGUUCUCAUCCAGGGGCAAAGUUCUCAACUCAAGGUAACUCUUCCAGUUUAGCGGAGUUUGUAACCUGAAGCGUUUGUAACCUGAGGCAUUUGUAACUCGAGGUACCACUGUGUUGACAUUUACCUUCUAUAUUGUGAACCACGCCGCGGUCUUUUGACCAAUACUGAUUCUAAUAGCAGCUGAACAACGAUGGUUGUACUGAAUGGACACUCAAAACACUUGACUUGUUAACCUUUGCAUUUUAGUACAUCCUGUGUUGUAAUUCCCAUGGGUUCAAAUCAGAAACAGGUGCUGAAAGUGUGAGAAGCCAUGAACCAGUCAUAGCAGCUUUGUAAUACCUGCUGGCUAGAAUCACAGCAUGGAUGGUUUCUGGUAGCUGCCAUUCUGAUUGGCUGAAGCUACAAAUAUUACAGGGAAUGACAGGACGAACUGUUUGCUGCCACCUGGUGGGCCUGUUCUUUGCAAAGCUCUCCUCCUUUGGAGGAAUUCCUGGAGCUUGCUUGCUGCCACCUGCCCGAUUGCUGCAUCGCAACACUCUGAGAUGUUGUGCGUCUUGGCAGAGCAAACAAGGGUCACUAACUACCAGAAUGCACCUAUGGAUUAAUCUAGGCGUAGGCAAACUCAGUCAUCCAGAUGUUUCAGGACUGCAACUCCCAUCAUCCCUGACCACUGGUUCUGUUAGCUAGGGAUGAUGGGAGUUGUAGUCCCAAAACAUCUGGAGGGCCGAGUUUGCCUAUGCCUGGAUUAAUCAUUAGUAAGGCCAAAGGACGUAGACUUUCAUUGACACGUCUUGCUGUUGGGAAGAAGUGAGGCAACUUUAAAUUUUGAGAUCUCAUUGUGGUGUUGUCUGUGCUGUUGCUGCCAUUGCUGCUUGUAAUUUGAGUAAAUUCUUGCUUGGCUGCAUCUCAGUUGUAUAUAUGUGAUGGGCAAAGGUCAAUCAGGCCUCCAGAUUGGAGUCUCUGGUUUUCCUAAGUGAGGACUUGAGCCAGAACUGAACAAAAAUCAGGGGAAAUGACCUCUGAGACAUGGAAGCCACCCUGGGUUCUGACCAAGGGUUAGACUUGCUGUCCUCUGCCUCAGGCCUGGCUGGUAGGGAGGGCCACCAUCGUACGUCUUGGCCUCCCACCACCAGCAUUGAUGCACUUACCACAUGGGGGAGAAAUGAGGCAGCAAGGAGGGCAGUGCUCACACCAUACCAGCCUCCUCAUUACUUCACCCCUUCCGCUUUGGCAGUGCUAUUUUUCUAGAAAAAGAACUCAUCACAAAUGCUUCCCUUGUCCUCUUAGAAUGGCAAUGGCGCCCACCUGAGAGGGGCUGGAAGCGUUCCAGCAAGUACCAGCUGGGGAAAAACCACCCCACCCCUCUGUCACCUGCUGUGACCUGCCCAAUUCCUUAAGAAUGGUUCAUGGAGGUAUUCUCUGCAUCCUAGCCUCUCCCCAGGCCUGGUUGGGGAGAUGUCAAAGCUGCAUCUUGUCCAUCUCCCUUCUGAGGUCUCCACUUUGCGCUCUACGGUGGAAGCACAAAAGGUACAAUCGCAAGGCACGCGUGCAGAUACUUAUUGGCACUUCUGGUAAUAUCCGAAACCGAAUCUGAUUUAUGAAUGGAUUUAGGUUCACCAGUACAAAUAUCUAGCUCAUUUUCCGAGGAGACAUCGCAUGGAUUUUGUUAUGUACUGAGUUGAAUAGGAUCCAAAAUGCAGCAGCCUGAUUGGUCCUAGAACAAUAGGAUUCAGAAUGCAGCAGCCUGAUUGGUCCUAGAACAAUAGGAUCCAGAAUGCAGCAGCCUGAUUGGUCCUAGAACAAUAGGACCCAGAAUGCAGCAGUCUGAUUGGUCCACAGGAGCCACCCAAUCCAGCUCCAGGUGGAAGUGAAUCCGCAACCUGAUUGGCCUGCAGGUGAAUCCCAGAAUUAGCCAAUCACGUGGGGCCCAUUGUGUAAAUAAUGUAUAUAAAGCAGACAUUCUGGGGGAACUUCCAUUCCUCCUCACCACUAUGAGCUGAAUAAAGAGCAUGAAAUCCACUCUCGACUCCGAGUAUAUUUCAGAUUUCUAUGUUACUUUUCUUUGCCGUCCCUCCCCCCCCCCCACCGUACAAAGCAAAGGUAGCUUGGGCAGGCUGCCAAUCUUGAGUGGAAAAAGUUGGCUAGGGAAGCAAUCCUCAACCUUUUCCCUUCCUGUCAUUCAUCUGCCAGGAAUUGCCCUCUACAUUCUCCUUUUUUUCCCCUGUGGGAGAAAAGAUACAGGGGAUAUCUUAUACAUGUAUUAUCCUCUUGUAGGAAGGAAAGGUGCAAUUUUAUUUAUUUAUGAGGGGGCAAUGUUAUUUAUUUAUGACUAAUUGAAUGAAUUUGUAAGCCACCCUGUGGUGCAAAACUCUCAAGGCAGACACCUGUAAGCAGAUGACUGACAGGAAGUUAAAAUGUGGAGCAGCCUCCCACUUCUGUAGCCUUUGAAGUGCUUUUCAGUUAAACACCCCCCUCCCCACCCCAAAACCCAUAGAACUGAAAGAGACAUGGAACUGCAAAUCACAUCUUUGAUUAACGGAUAUGAGAAGUUGGGAACUUACUCUUUGGGGGAGGAGAGAGUUACAGAGAAAAAGGUCAAAAUAUCUAAAUGCAAGAUGGUACUGAAAUCUGUCUCAGAUAUUUGGGGUUAAGGCAUUGAGCCACAAGGAAGACAAAGAAAGAUUGAAAAUUAUGGUCGUAGAUAGAAAAGGGAUCUUUUGUGAAAGGUGAUGCAGCAGUAUCUAAAACGUUUAACAUUAAGAAUCUAGAAUCAGAGUAACAGAACCGGCCACGGUUUGUCGAGACAGCUGAACACUUGGGGACUGAGAAAUAGAUAUAUUUUAAUCCUCACCGGCUGUCACUUCCCAAACGUCUGUCUGCCAGUGUCUGCUUUCUCCAACAAGGUUUUAAAAGCGGUUCCCUGCAAUGAGCGCAGGGCUAUUUCUCCUGUCAGUCAGCUGAAAUAUUUUAACAGAGCAAUACCGUACGUGCCUACUUUGAAAGAUGCUCCGCUGAGGGUUGGUCCAAGACAUUUUGCCACCUGAGGUGAAGGAGUGGCAGUGGCAAGCAAGCCCCUUACCUGGCUCUGGGCCGGAAUGACAUUGGGGGUUGGCACGGCUUAGCCUGUGGCUGAGGGUGGCUCCUCCUCUGCCCCAUGGCAGCCUCCAUGGGGAAGCCAUGGGCCUGAGGUGACUAGAGGAGGCCCUUGAAACUGACCUGCCCAGGCAGCUGUUGGCAAGAUCCACAUGGCACUUCAUCUGCAGCUAUAAGAGAAGCAGCAAAGGUGCAAAAGGACGCCCCCUAAAGGACGAAUUGCUUUCAGGUCAGCGGUGUACAAGAUUUAGAUUAUAAUACUGUGAUUAUGAUUUAAUAGGUAGAUAGCGUGCACCAAAAGGGGAGAAGCAAUAACUCCAUGGAAAACUGGGUGGGAAGUUGCAAAAAUUAAGAGGGAAAAAACAAAAUAGUGUUCUGAUUGUAUAUGUUAAAAAUGUUGCAAUUUAAUAAUUAUAAUGGAGGGGGAAAGUGUAUAAUAAUAAUAAUAUGAAAGCCAGUGUGGUAUACUGGUUAAGAGAGGUAGUCUCGUAAUCUGGUGAACCGGGUUCGCUUCCCCGCUCCUCCACAUGCAGCUGCUGGGUGACCUUGGGCCAGUCACACUUCUCUGAAGUCUCUCAGCCUCACUCACCUCACAGAGUGUUUCUUGUGGGGGAGGAAGGGAAUGGAGAAUGUUAGCCGCUUUGAGACUCCUUAAAGGGAGUGAAAGGCGGGAUAUCAAAUCCAAACUCUAAUAAUAAUAAUAAUAAUAAAUAAUAAUAAUAAAUUUAUACCCUGCCCAUCUGGCUGAGUUUCCCCAGCCACUCUGGGCGGCUGCAAAUCGAGUGUUAAAAACAAUACAGCAUUAAAUAUUAAAAACUUCCCUAAACAGGGCUGCCUUCAGAUGUCUUUUAAAAAUGGAAUAGCUGCUUAUUUCCUUGACAUCUGAUGGGAGGGUGUUCCACAGGGCGGGCACCACUACUGAGAAGGCCCUCUGCCUGGUUCCUUGUAACCUCACUUCUCUCAAUGAGGGAACCGCCAGAAGGCCCUCGGCGCUGGAUCUCAGUGUCUGGGCUGAACGAUAGGGGUGGAGACGCUCCUUCAGGUUUAUAGGACCAAGGCCAUUUAGGGCUUUAAAGGUCAGCACCAACACUUUGAACUGUGCUCAGAAACGUACUGGGAGCCAAUGCAGAUCUCUCAGGACCGGUGUUAUGUGGUCCCGGCGGCCACUCCCAGUCACCAGUCUAGCUGCCGCAUUCUGGAUUAAUUGGAGUUUCUGGGUCACCUUCAAAUGUAGCCCCACGUAGAGCGCAUUGCUGUAGUCCAAGUGGGAGAUAAGAUCGCAGGCAAAGCUAUUUCCCCCCAGUCAUAUAUUGGUUUGUGGUCCUACACAAUUAUAUAAUGGCAUAUAUAUCUUGUACAGUUGGCUAGCAUUGUAAACAGAUAUAUGAUUUUUUGUGGGGGGGAACAGCUUAGGCUGAAAUUCUCUGCAACAGUUCAGAUUGUGGCAAUGUCUGCUUUGGUCCUCAGUGAGACAGAAGCUCAGCUGUUGAAAAACAAGUGGCUGUGGCAUUAGGGCAUGCCUUUUUAGGGGUGAGAGUUAAUUUUUGCUAAUCUAUUUAGUGAGGAGGUCUUAAGAACAUGCUUUUUGUGUGUGGGGGAAUUCAAAUCUGCCAUUUUUGUGAUUGGGAAACAUUUAGCUUGGUAAGUCUACAUUUGUUGAAGAAGCACGUAAACUGCUUUAGGAAAACAAAAGAAUUUUAAUUUUAUCUUCUGAAAAUGUCAGUAUUGCAAUAUUUUAUACACACACACACACACACACACACAUAUAAAAUAUACACAUGCAAGUCUUGGCAAUUUUUAAAAAUGAGUUCUAUACAAUUUUACACACUUUUCUUACCAAGCAAAACUAAAUUACAGUAUAUCAAUUUAACCAAAAUACUAUUUGAAUUUCCAAGUCAUGUUGGAACUUGUAAGCACCACUCAUUAUUUGGAAGUCGAAAAUUGCAAAAUUCAGCAUGCCCUAUAAUGGCGUGUACAAGCGAAGCUGCCAAGAUGUGUUUCUCAAUGAAGAUAUGCUGCAAAAGGCUGCAAUUCAAACUGACGUGGCUCAUGUGUAGAAACUACGGAGGAAGCCUGAAGGUGUCCUUAAUGCAAAUUGUUAAUUAUGCUAACUAAAAACGCAAAUUAGAUCCAGUCAUCAGGUUCAUGAUGUUUCCCAGGUAGCCCUCAGUGUUCACCCUGACUGUUUAUCAUCUUGUAUUUAAAAGACGAUGUGCAGCAAACUGAUUGGAUAUUCAAAUUUUUCAACUCUGUUCAUUAAGAUAUUUGAAGUAUCUUGGUAUGUAAACUAAUGCCUAAUCCCCUUCACUGCUAUGCAGAACUUCAUAUAUCAAGAAGCCACCUCUUUAUCUGUGAUGGCUCCUGAACAAUUAUGUGGGUUAAACCACAGAGCCUAGGACUUGCUGAUCAGAAGGUCGGCGGUUCGAAUCCCUGCGACAGGGUGAGCUCCUGUUGCUCGGUCCCUGCUCCUGCCAACCUAGCGGUUCGAAAGCACGUCAAAGUGCAGAUAAAUAGGUACCGCUCCGGGGGGAAGGUAAAGGGCGUUUCUGUGUGCUGUUCUAGUUCGCCAGAAGCGGCUUAGUCAGGCUGGCCAUAUGACCCGGAAGCUGUACGCUGGCUCCCUCGGCCAAUAAAGCGAGAUGAGUGCCACAACCCCAGAGUCAUCCGCGACUGGACUUAACGGUCAGGGGUCCCCUUUACCUUUACCUUUACCACUCAUGCAAUCAAGAGUGUGUUCCAGGUGGCAUACACUCCAACAUUUCUCUGAUGAAAAUAGGGACAUCCUAAGGAAAAGUGGGACAUUCUGGGAUCAAAUCAGAAACCGGGACGGCCUUUGUAAAUCUGGGACUCUCCCUGGCAAAUAGGGGCAGUUGGAAGGUCUGGAACUGUAGAUUAUAACUCAGAGCUACAAUUCCAAGUACCCUUGGCAAGCUCAUGCCCUCCAACAUUUCUCUGAUGAAAAUUGGGAUGUCCCAUUCCAUACCUAUAAUUUUACUAUUUAUACCCCACACACCUUACUGGGUUUCCCCGGCCAUUCUGUGCAUUUUCCAACAUAUAUAAAAACCUAAUAAAACAUUAAACAUGACAAAACUUCCCUAUACAGGAUUGCCUUCAGACAGCUUGGGUGUCAGAUAACUCCAUACUCUCCAACGUUUCUCUAAUGAAAAUAGGGACAUCCUACUAUACCCUCCAACGUUUCUCCAAAAAAAAAAAGGAAAAGCAGGACAUUCCGGGAUCAAAUCAGAAACUGGGAUGGUUUCUCUAUAUCAGGGACAUCCAUGGAAAAUAGGAACACACGGAGGGCCUGCAAACUACUGUUCACAGAAUUCUUUUUGUGUUAGGGAAGUUGCUUUAAUUUUGUGUGCCUAUGCAGCUAAAGAGAUCAUCUACGGAAAGGAUUCUAGUCUUGCCUCUUCCAUUUCCCUUCCUUUUCCCUUGCAGGCACCCCAGAGGAGAGCUUUGUCUUCUGGUAGUCAAUUUCAUAACUCCCCAGGGCAAGGCGCAAGCACCUCCCUAUCUUCUUUCCAAUAUUUGUACCUCCUGAGCUCCCAUUCACUGCCUGUGAAUAGAUGCAUCUGGUAAUGUAUAUUAUUCAUGUUCCUGCAUUACAGGAUGACUUUUAUUUUUUGAAAUAACUAUCCAUUCAAUUCUGCUCCAAAGGUUAAUGCUAUCCCUCCCACCUAUCCCCGCUGAAAAAAGGGGAACAUUCUUUUGGAUUCUUUUUAAUCAUCUGGAAUCAUGUGUGCAAACAGGGAGGGGAAUUACUGCUGGCUUAUGUUAGAGCAGAUAACAAAAGCUGCAAAUCGCUUGUCAAGGUUGAUGAAAGAAACUUACUGUUAUGAUAAGGGGUUAUUCAAUGUGUUCACUAGAAUGUUCUGGUGAGGAAAAAUG
Podarcis lilfordi (Lilford's wall lizard) is the source of this 17372-nucleotide non-coding RNA. NCBI's taxonomy places the organism in Eukaryota, Metazoa, Chordata, Lepidosauria, Squamata, Lacertidae. The record is from the annotation of a GenBank genome assembly.